GACGAAGGGGGCUAGCGUUGCUCGGAAUCACUGGGCGUAAAGCGCACGUAGGCGGAUUGCUAAGUCAGGGGUGAAAUCCUGGAGCUCAACUCCAGAACUGCCUUUGAUACUGGCGAUCUUGAGUCCGGGAGAGGUGAGUGGAACUGCGAGUGUAGAGGUGAAAUUCGUAGAUAUUCGCAAGAACACCAGUGGCGAAGGCGGCUCACUGGCCCGGUACUGACGCUGAGGUGCGAAAGCGUGGGGAGCAAACAGG
Molecule: ribosomal RNA, 253 nt
Filed under: uncultured bacterium
Lineage: Bacteria
Description: partial 16S ribosomal RNA
Rfam family: Bacterial small subunit ribosomal RNA
Source: RNAcentral